RNAcentral lists this ribosomal RNA (247 nucleotides) under uncultured bacterium. RNAcentral's name for it is "partial 16S ribosomal RNA". It matches the Rfam family "Bacterial small subunit ribosomal RNA", at positions 523 to 769 of the family's 1533-position model. The record is from RNAcentral.
AUACGGAGGUUCCCAGCGUUGUUCGGAAUUACUGGGCGUAAAGGGAGCGCAGGCGGAUAGGUCAGUCUAAAGUGGAAUCCCGGGGCUCAACCUCGGACGUGCUUUGGAUACUGCCUGUCUUGAGUUCGUGAGAGGAAAGCGGAAUUCAGGGUGUAGCGGUGAAAUGCUUAGAUAUCCUGAGGAACACCGGUGGCGAAAGCGGCUUUCUGGUACGAAACUGACGCUGAGGCUCGAAAGCGUGGGGAGC